GAUGAACGCUGGCGGCGUGCUUAACACAUGCAAGUCGAACGAUGAAGCUCAGCUUGCUGGGUGGAUUAGUGGCGAACGGGUGAGUAACACGUGAGUAACCUGCCCUUAACUCUGGGAUAAGCCUGGGAAACUAGGUCUAAUACCGGAUAGGAGCGCCUACCGCAUGGUGGGUGUUGGAAAGAUUUAUCGGUUUUGGAUGGACUCGCGGCCUAUCAGCUUGUUAGUGAGGUAAUGGCUCACCAAGGCGACGACGGGUAGCCGGCCUGAGAGGGUGACCGGCCACACUGGGACUGAGACACGGCCCAGACUCCUACGGGAGGCAGCAGUGGGGAAUAUUGCACAAUGGGCGAAAGCCUGAUGCAGCGACGCCGCGUGAGGGAUGACGGCCUUCGGGUUGUAAACCUCUUUCAGUAGGGAAGAAGCGAAAGUGACGGUACCUGCAGAAGAAGCACCGGCUAACUACGUG
This 466-nucleotide ribosomal RNA is filed under the name uncultured bacterium. RNAcentral describes it as "partial 16S ribosomal RNA". It matches the Rfam family "Bacterial small subunit ribosomal RNA", at positions 28 to 507 of the family's 1533-position model. The record is from RNAcentral.